Molecule: ribosomal RNA, 81 nt
Filed under: Cololejeunea lanciloba
Lineage: Eukaryota; Viridiplantae; Streptophyta; Jungermanniopsida; Porellales; Lejeuneaceae
Description: partial 5.8S ribosomal RNA
Rfam family: 5.8S ribosomal RNA
About the family: 5.8S ribosomal RNA (5.8S rRNA) is a component of the large subunit of the eukaryotic ribosome.
Source: RNAcentral
AGAAUUCCGCGAAUCAUCGAGUUUUUCAACACAUGUUGCGCCCAAGGCUCGUUCCGAGGGCAUGCCUGCCUGAGCGUCCGC